GACGAACGCUGGCGGCGUGCUUAACACAUGCCAGUCGAACGGUGAAGCUCCAGCUUGCUGGAGUGGAUCAGUGGCGAACGGGUGAGUAACACGUGAGCAACCUGCCCCUGACUCUGGAAUAAGCGCUGGAAACGGCGUCUAAUACUGGAUACGAGAAGGGUCCGCAUGGGCACCUUCUGGAAAGUUUUUCGGUUGGGGAUGGGCUCGCGGCCUAUCAGCUUGUUGGUGAGGUAAUGGCUCACCAAGGCGACGACGGGUAGCCGGCCUGAGAGGGCGACCGGCCACACUGGGACUGAGACACGGCCCAGACUCCUACGGGAGGCAGCAGUGGGGAAUAUUGCACAAUGGGCGAAAGCCUGAUGCAGCGACGCCGCGUGAGGGAUGACGGCCUUCGGGUUGUAAACCUCUUUCAGCAGGGAAGAAGCGAAAGUGACGGUACCUGCAGAAGAAGCACCGGCUAACUACGUG
RNAcentral lists this ribosomal RNA (468 nucleotides) under uncultured bacterium. RNAcentral's name for it is "partial 16S ribosomal RNA". It matches the Rfam family "Bacterial small subunit ribosomal RNA", at positions 28 to 507 of the family's 1533-position model. The record is from RNAcentral.